Molecule: ribosomal RNA, 253 nt
Filed under: uncultured bacterium
Lineage: Bacteria
Description: partial 16S ribosomal RNA
Rfam family: Bacterial small subunit ribosomal RNA
Source: RNAcentral
UACGUAGGCAGCAAGCGUUGUUCGGAAUUACUGGGCGUAAAGAGUGUGUAGGCGGUUCUCUAAGUCUGUUGUGAAAUCUCCCGGCUUAACCGGGAGGGUGCGGCGGAAACUGGAGUGCUUGAGGGUGGGAGAGGUAAGCGGAAUUCCUGGUGUAGCGGUGAAAUGCGUAGAUAUCAGGAGGAACACCUGUGGUGUAGACAGCUUACUGGACCACUUCUGACGCUGAGACACGAAAGCGUGGGUAGCAAACAGG